AUUGAACGCUGGCGGCAGGCCUAACACAUGCAAGUCGAGCGGAUGAAGGGAGCUUGCUCCUGGAUUCAGCGGCGGACGGGUGAGUAAUGGCUAGGAAUCUGCCUGGUAGUGGGGGAUAACGUCCGGAAACGGGCGCUAAUACCGCAUACGUCCUGAGGGAGAAAGUGGGGGAUCUUCGGACCUCACGCUAUCAGAUGAGCCUAGGUCGGAUUAGCUAGUUGGUGGGGUAAAGGCCUACCAAGGCGACGAUCCGUAACUGGUCUGAGAGGAUGAUCAGUCACACUGGAACUGAGACACGGUCCAGACUCCUACGGGAGACAGCAGUGGGGAAUAUUGGACAAUGGGCGAAAGCCUGAUCCAGCCAUGCCGCGUGUGUGAAGAAGGUCUUCGGAUUGUAAAGCACUUUAAGUUGGGAGGAAGGGCAGUAAGUUAAUACCUUGCUGUUUUGACGUUACCAACAGAAUAAGCACCGGCUAACUUCGUG
This 484-nucleotide ribosomal RNA is filed under the name uncultured bacterium. RNAcentral's name for it is "partial 16S ribosomal RNA". It matches the Rfam family "Bacterial small subunit ribosomal RNA", at positions 30 to 507 of the family's 1533-position model. The record is from RNAcentral.